UUUUAGGCUCUGUUUUUGCAAUGGCUGUGCUAUACUGGGCUUAGUCUUCUGCAGAUUGCUUUCAGCCUGUGCUGAGGGUGUUAUUAUGAGACCUGAGUUUGCUGUAAACUAUUAAAUGUUUUGGAGGAAACCUCAAAUUAGAGAAGUGGAGAAAGGAGUGAUGUCUGUGGCUUUAGAUCCAGGAUGACAAGAUCUGCUAUUCUUUGUUUUUUCUACAGAAAUGAUGGUGUUUCCCUGGGAAAAUUGUUGGGGAAGAUUAAGUUUGAAUACACUUGGGAAAUUUGCUGCAAUCAAGAGGCUGAAGGAUGAGCACCAGUGGGCAGGCCAUGUACUGAGGUGAAUCUAGAACUGGACUGGUGCUCAGAAGACUGUGGUUAUAAUCCUGGUAGCCACAAUACAGAGGGAUCCUUUUGGAAAUUUGGUGACAUCUCUGCUACAUUCAGAGUUGAGAGACCCUUGCCUGAUUCAGUGUGAUUCAUUUGAACUUUCCCCAAAUCAGGUGAAACAAGGCCACAAAAGAAUGGUAUAUUACAGAUUUACAAACACAGAGAGAAUCUUUCAAACUGAACUGUAGUUAACCCUGGCUCUGUGAAGAAACUUCACCACGUCACAAUGGUGAG
This is a non-coding RNA of Meleagris gallopavo (turkey), 620 nucleotides long. The record is from RefSeq and is a predicted model, not a curated record. Lineage: Eukaryota; Metazoa; Chordata; Aves; Galliformes; Phasianidae.